CGGCGCGGGUGAGUAACACGUGGGCAACCUGCCUGUAAGACUGGGAUAACUCCGGGAAACCGGAGCUAAUACCGGAUAACAUUUUUUCUUGCAUAAGAGAAAAUUGAAAGAUGGUUUCGGCUAUCACUUACAGAUGGGCCCGCGGUGCAUUAGCUAGUUGGUGAGGUAACGGCUCACCAAGGCAACGAUGCAUAGCCGACCUGAGAGGGUGAUCGGCCACACUGGGACUGAGACACGGCCCAGACUCCUACGGGAGGCAGCAGUAGGGAAUCUUCCGCAAUGGACGAAAGUCUGACGGAGCAACGCCGCGUGAGUGAUGAAGGCUUUCGGGUCGUAAAACUCUGUUGUUAGGGAAGAACAAGUACAAGAGUAACUGCUUGUACCUUGACGGUACCUAACCAGAAAGCCACGGCUAACUACGUGCCAGCAGCCGCGGUAAUACGUAGGUGGCAAGCGUUAUCCGGAAUUAUUGGGCGUAAAGCGCGCGCAGGCGGUUUCUUAAGUCUGAUGUGAAAGCCCACGGCUCAACCGUGGAGGGUCAUUGGAAACUGGGGAACUUGAGUGCAGAAGAGAAAAGCGGAAUUCCACGUGUAGCGGUGAAAUGCGUAGAGAUGU
Molecule: ribosomal RNA, 615 nt
Filed under: Priestia flexa
Lineage: Bacteria; Bacillati; Bacillota; Bacilli; Caryophanales; Bacillaceae
Description: bacterial SSU rRNA
Rfam family: Bacterial small subunit ribosomal RNA
Source: RNAcentral